UACGGAGGGGGCUAGCGUUGUUCGGAAUUACUGGGCGUAAAGCGCACGUAGGCGGCUUUGUAAGUUAGAGGUGAAAGCCCGGGGCUCAACUCCGGAAUUGCCUUUAAGACUGCAUCGCUAGAAUUGUGGAGAGGUAAGUGGAAUUCCGAGUGUAGAGGUGAAAUUCGUAGAUAUUCGGAAGAACACCAGUGGCGAAGGCGGCUCACUGGAUUGGUAUUGACGCUGAGGUGCGAAAGCGUGGGGAGCAAACAGG
RNAcentral lists this ribosomal RNA (253 nucleotides) under uncultured bacterium. RNAcentral describes it as "partial 16S ribosomal RNA". It matches the Rfam family "Bacterial small subunit ribosomal RNA", at positions 524 to 776 of the family's 1533-position model. The record is from RNAcentral.